AAAAUCAGUGGCAAUGGUGUCUGCCCUGAACCGCCCUUUUACAAGGGAUAAUGGCGCCUGUUAUCGU
This 67-nucleotide non-coding RNA is filed under the name Sinomicrobium oceani. Its description in RNAcentral is "Fluoride sequence". It matches the Rfam family "Fluoride riboswitch aptamer (crcB RNA motif)". Lineage: Bacteria; Pseudomonadati; Bacteroidota; Flavobacteriia; Flavobacteriales; Flavobacteriaceae. The record is from Rfam by way of RNAcentral.